This 250-nucleotide ribosomal RNA is filed under the name uncultured bacterium. RNAcentral describes it as "partial 16S ribosomal RNA". It matches the Rfam family "Bacterial small subunit ribosomal RNA", at positions 524 to 773 of the family's 1533-position model. The record is from RNAcentral. RNAcentral also lists the same sequence under 1 other name.
UACGAAGGGGGCAAGCGUUGCUCGGAAUCACUGGGCGUAAAGCGCACGUAGGCGGGUUGUUAAGUCAGAGGUGAAAUCCCGGAGCUCAACUCCAGAACUGCCUUUGAUACUGGCGAACUUGAGUUCGAGAGAGGUUGGUGGAACUGCGAGUGUAGAGGUGAAAUUCGUAGAUAUUCGCAAGAACACCAGUGGCGAAGGCGGCCAACUGGCUCGAUACUGACGCUGAGGUGCGAAAGCGUGGGGAGCAAAC